This 431-nucleotide ribosomal RNA is filed under the name uncultured Pseudonocardia sp. RNAcentral describes it as "bacterial SSU rRNA". It matches the Rfam family "Bacterial small subunit ribosomal RNA", at positions 39 to 495 of the family's 1533-position model. The record is from RNAcentral. Lineage: Bacteria; Bacillati; Actinomycetota; Actinomycetes; Pseudonocardiales; Pseudonocardiaceae.
CCGGCGUGCUCACACAUUCAGUCGAGCGGUAAGGCCCUUCGGGGUACACGAGCGGCGAACGGGUGAACGUGGGUGACCUGCCCUCAGCUCUGGGAUAAGCCCGGGAAACUGGGUCUAAUACCGGAUAUGACCUCUCAACGCAUGUUGGGUGGUGGAAAGUUUUUCGGCUGGGGAUGGGCCCGCGGCCUAUCAGCUUGUUGGUGGGGUGAUGGCCUACCAAGGCGGUGACGGGUAGCCGGCCUGAGAGGGCGACCGGCCACACUGGGACUGAGACACGGCCCAGACUCCUACGGGAGGCAGCAGUGGGGAAUAUUGCGCAAUGGGCGGAAGCCUGACGCAGCGACGCCGCGUGGGGGAUGACGGCCUUCGGGUUGUAAACCUCUUUCGACUCCGACGAAGCGAGAGUGACGGUAGGAGUAGAAGAAGCACCG